AACGCGAAGAACCUUACCUACCCUUGACAUGUACGGAAGCCUCCAGAGAUGGGGUGUGCCCGAAAGGGAGCCGUAACACAGGUGCUGCAUGGCUGUCGUCAGCUCGUGUCGUGAGAUGUUGGGUUAAGUCCCGCAACGAGCGCAACCCUUGUCCCUAGUUGCUACGCAAGGGCACUCUAGGGAGACUGCCGGUGACAAACCGGAGGAAGGUGGGGAUGACGUCAAGUCCUCAUGGCCCUUAUGGGUAGGGCUUCACACGUCAUACAAUGGCCGGUACAGAGGGUUGCCAAAGCGCGAGCUGGAGCCAAUCCCAGAAAGCCGGUCGUAGUCCGGAUUGCAGUCUGCAACUCGACUGCAUGAAGUCGGAAUCGCUAGUAAUCGCGGAUCAGCAUGUCGCGGUGAAUACGUUCCCGGGCCUUGUA
RNAcentral lists this ribosomal RNA (422 nucleotides) under uncultured beta proteobacterium. Its description in RNAcentral is "bacterial SSU rRNA". It matches the Rfam family "Bacterial small subunit ribosomal RNA", at positions 958 to 1385 of the family's 1533-position model. Lineage: Bacteria; Pseudomonadati; Pseudomonadota; Betaproteobacteria. The record is from RNAcentral.